This 409-nucleotide long non-coding RNA is filed under the name Malus domestica (apple). RNAcentral's name for it is "long non-coding RNA (MDOM_LNC014590)". The record is from RNAcentral. Lineage: Eukaryota; Viridiplantae; Streptophyta; Magnoliopsida; Rosales; Rosaceae.
UGAUUCAGUGAGCCAGCAGAGGCCCGAAGCUUCUCAGUCAACACCAAUGGAAGCAGCUAAACCUCAAGACAAUCCUACUGUGAAGAAACACGAAGCUAAACCUCAAGACAUUCCUACUGCGAAGAAACAGGAAGCUAAACCUCAAGACAUUCCUUCUGCGAAGAAACAGGAAGCUAAACCUCAAGACAUUCCUACGGCCACGAAACAGGAAGCUAAACCUCAAGACAUUCCUACUGUGAAGAAACAGGAAGCUAAACCUCAAGACAUUCCUACUACACUUCAGCCAUCCGAUAAACUCGAUUCGGUAAGCCAGAAGCUGCCGCAACCUUCUCAGUCAUCCCCGAUGGAAGCAUUCAGUCAAGUUCAAGAGAUCUUUAGCCAUGCAGCCUCACCGGUGCAGUAUCCAGAU